CCUACGGGAGGUAGCAGUGGGGGAUAUUGCACAAUGGGGGAAACCCUGAUGCAGCGACGCCGCGUGUGGGAAGACGGUCCUCUGGAUUGUAAACCACUGUCCCCAGGGACGAAAAUGACGGUACCUGGGGAGGAAGCUCCGGCUAACUACGUGCCAGCAGCCGCGGUAAUACGUAGGGAGCGAGCGUUGUCCGGAAUUACUGGGUGUAAAGGGAGCGUAGGCGGGGAUGCAAGUUGGGUGUAAAAACUACCGGCUCAACUGGUAGUAACACUCAAAACUGCAGCUCUUGAGUGAAGUAGAGGCAGGCGGAAUGCCUAGUGUAGCGGUGAAAUGCGUAGAUAUUAGGAGGAACACCAGUGGCGAAGGCGGCCUGCCGGGCUUUUACUGACGCUGAGGCUCGAAAGUGUGGGGAGCAAACAGGAUUAGAUACCCGAGUAGUC
This 440-nucleotide ribosomal RNA is filed under the name uncultured bacterium. RNAcentral's name for it is "partial 16S ribosomal RNA". It matches the Rfam family "Bacterial small subunit ribosomal RNA", at positions 338 to 795 of the family's 1533-position model. The record is from RNAcentral.